GUGGGGAAUAUUGGACAAUGGGCGAAAGCCUGAUCCAGCCAUGCCGCGUGUGUGAAGAAGGUCUUCGGAUUGUAAAGCACUUUAAGUUGGGAGGAAGGGCAGUAAGUUAAUACCUUGCUGUUUUGACGUUACCGACAGAAUAAGCACCGGCUAACUUCGUGCCAGCAGCCGCGGUAAUACGUAGGGUGCAAGCGUUAAUCGGAAUUACUGGGCGUAAAGCGUGCGCAGGCGGUUUUGUAAGACAGGCGUGAAAUCCCCGGGCUCAACCUGGGAACUGCCUCCAAAACUGCAUGACUAGAGUACGGUAGAGGGUAGUGGAAUUUCCUGUGUAGCGGUGAAAUGCGUAGAUAUAGGAAGGAACACCAGUGGCGAAGGCGACUCACUGGCCCAAUACUGACGCUGAGGCGCGAAAGCGUGGGGAGCAAACAGGAUUAGAUACCCCAGUAGUCC
Molecule: ribosomal RNA, 450 nt
Filed under: uncultured bacterium
Lineage: Bacteria
Description: partial 16S ribosomal RNA
Rfam family: Bacterial small subunit ribosomal RNA
Source: RNAcentral